Molecule: ribosomal RNA, 395 nt
Filed under: uncultured bacterium
Lineage: Bacteria
Description: bacterial SSU rRNA
Rfam family: Bacterial small subunit ribosomal RNA
Source: RNAcentral
GACGAACGCUGGCGGCGUGCUUAACACAUGCAAGUCGAGCGGUAAGGCCCUUUCGGGGGUACACGAGCGGCGAACGGGUGAGUAACACGUGGGUGACCUGCCCUCAGCUCUGGGAUAAGCCUGGGAAACCGGGUCUAAUACCGGAUAUGACUCCAUGACGCAUGUUGUGGGGUGGAAAGCCUUGUGCGGCUGAGGAUGGGCCCGCGGCCUAUCAGCUUGUUGGUGGGGGAUGGCCUACCAAGGCGACGACGGGUAGCCGGCCUGAGAGGGCGACGGCCACACUGGGACUGAGACACGGCCCAGACUCCUACGGGAGGCAGCAGUGGGGAAUCUUGCGCAAUGGGCGAAAGCCUGACGCAGCGACGCCGCGUGAGGGAUGACGGCCUGGUUGUAAC